AUACGUAGGUGGCGAGCGUUGUCCGGAUUUACUGGGCGUAAAGCGUGCGCAGGCGGUUUUUUAAGAUAGGCGUGAAAUCCCCGGGCUUAACCUGGGAACUGCGCUUAUGACUGGGAGACUAGAGUACGGCAGAGGGGGGGGGAAUUCCACGUGUAGCAGUGAAAUGCGUAGAGAUGUGGAGGAACACCAAUGGCGAAGGCAGCCCCCUGGGCCGAUACUGACGCUCAUGCACGAAAGCGUGGGGAGCAAACAGGAUUAGAUACCCUGGUAGUCCACGCCCUAAACGAUGUCAACUAGGUGUUGGGUGGGUAAAACCAUUUAGUACCGUAGCUAACGCGUGAAGUUGACCGCCUGGGGAGUACGGCCGCAAGGUUAA
RNAcentral lists this ribosomal RNA (376 nucleotides) under uncultured bacterium. RNAcentral's name for it is "partial 16S rRNA". It matches the Rfam family "Bacterial small subunit ribosomal RNA", at positions 523 to 897 of the family's 1533-position model. The record is from RNAcentral.